CGCCGAACCGCGCGUCCACCCGCCAGCCUCCUUACGCUUGAUCCCCUCCGAAUCUUUCACCUCCGCCCCCUCCUCGAUCUCCAGCCUCGAUCACAUCCAUGGAUCGAAUAAAGGCGGAAUCUUUGAGAUCAGGGCAAGAGGGUUUCAUUUGGGUACGAUAAUGGACCAACUGAGCUAGGAACAUUAAAUGAAGCUCUUCAAGAAUUACGUGAUGGAAUUCAGGUUAGAUGAGGUACCGCCGUAGGUAGCAGUAGUACGAUACGACAUUCUGAUGCAACCGCCACCGAUGAUAGAUAUCACGACGAUAGGAACCACGAUUAUGAUGAGUGAGUGGUGAGUUAGACUUUUUGGUAACUUUUGUGGAUUUUUGGAUUGUGUUGAACAUAUUAUGACCUCCUGAUUAUGUAAAUGUUAAUAUUGUUGGAUGUGAAUCGAUGAAUGUAAAUAUUAAUAUUGUUGGAUGUGAAUCGCUGAAUGUGAAUGUGAAUAUUGUUGGAUGUGAAUUGAUGAUUGUGAACGGGAAUAUUGUUGGA
Long non-coding RNA from Asparagus officinalis (garden asparagus), 533 nucleotides. RefSeq lists it as uncharacterized. NCBI's taxonomy places the organism in Eukaryota, Viridiplantae, Streptophyta, Magnoliopsida, Asparagales, Asparagaceae. The record is from RefSeq and is a predicted model, not a curated record. The transcript has 2 exons.